This 728-nucleotide ribosomal RNA is filed under the name Staphylococcus haemolyticus. RNAcentral describes it as "bacterial SSU rRNA". It matches the Rfam family "Bacterial small subunit ribosomal RNA", at positions 24 to 734 of the family's 1533-position model. Lineage: Bacteria; Bacillati; Bacillota; Bacilli; Caryophanales; Staphylococcaceae. The record is from RNAcentral.
UCAGGAUGAACGCUGGCGGCGUGCCUAAUACAUGCAAGUCGAGCGAACAGACAAGGAGCUUGCUCCUUUGACGUUAGCGGCGGACGGGUGAGUAACACGUGGGUAACCUACCUAUAAGACUGGGAUAACUUCGGGAAACCGGAGCUAAUACCGGAUAAUAUUUCGAACCGCAUGGUUCGAUAGUGAAAGAUGGUUUUGCUAUCACUUAUAGAUGGACCCGCGCCGUAUUAGCUAGUUGGUAAGGUAACGGCUUACCAAGGCGACGAUACGUAGCCGACCUGAGAGGGUGAUCGGCCACACUGGAACUGAGACACGGUCCAGACUCCUACGGGAGGCAGCAGUAGGGAAUCUUCCGCAAUGGGCGAAAGCCUGACGGAGCAACGCCGCGUGAGUGAUGAAGGUCUUCGGAUCGUAAAACUCUGUUAUUAGGGAAGAACAUACGUGUAAGUAACUGUGCACGUCUUGACGGUACCUAAUCAGAAAGCCACGGCUAACUACGUGCCAGCAGCCGCGGUAAUACGUAGGUGGCAAGCGUUAUCCGGAAUUAUUGGGCGUAAAGCGCGCGUAGGCGGUUUUUUAAGUCUGAUGUGAAAGCCCACGGCUCAACCGUGGAGGGUCAUUGGAAACUGGAAAACUUGAGUGCAGAAGAGGAAAGUGGAAUUCCAUGUGUAGCGGUGAAAUGCGCAGAGAUAUGGAGGAACACCAGUGGCGAAGGCGACUUUCUGGUC